CUCCAACGUUAUCAUCUUCCCAGUCAAUUGCAAGUAAACAAAUUACUUAUAUUACACUCACAAAAUAUUACAACUUAACAACAACUCUCAAGAACACAACUUAGAAGCUAUGACACUCUUUCUGUAGACACACUCUAGACCACUCACACUCUUCACAAGACCACCCUCACUUCUAAGUUAUUUUCUUGCUUCUCUUCUUGGCUACUUGGUUGUAUUACAACACUCAUGGCCAUGAUCAUGCACACACCCUUCCACCGACUUAAGAAACAACCUUCCAGUCCUUUCUUUCUACAAAGGACUACUUAGCUUAGAUAAUUCUAUAUUUCAUGUUUCUUCACGGAUCACCUUCCAUGCAUAUUUGAACUAGAAAAAUCUAAUUUAAUUGUAUCACAAUUUUCAACUUCCAGAGUGAUGGUCUUCCCGGUCAAGGUCUUCACGAAGAUUUGCAUACCACCACGCAGUCGAAGCACCAAGGUGGACUCCUUUUGAAUGUUGUAAUCAGCAAGUGU
This 509-nucleotide small RNA is filed under the name Malus domestica (apple). RNAcentral describes it as "sRNA MD11G0181200". The record is from RNAcentral. Lineage: Eukaryota; Viridiplantae; Streptophyta; Magnoliopsida; Rosales; Rosaceae.